This 253-nucleotide ribosomal RNA is filed under the name uncultured bacterium. Its description in RNAcentral is "partial 16S ribosomal RNA". It matches the Rfam family "Bacterial small subunit ribosomal RNA", at positions 524 to 776 of the family's 1533-position model. The record is from RNAcentral.
UACGUAGGGGGCAAGCGUUGUCCGGAUUUAUUGGGCGUAAAGAGCGUGUAGGCGGUCAGGUAGGUCCGUUGUGAAAACUCGAGGCUCAACCUCGAGACGCCGAUGGAAACCAUCUGACUAGAGUCCGGAAGAGGAGAGUGGAAUUCCUGGUGUAGCGGUGAAAUGCGCAGAUAUCAGGAGGAACACCGGUGGCGAAGGCGGUUCUCUGGGCCUUACCUGACGCUGAGGAGCGAAAGCGUGGGGAGCGAACAGG